CCCCACUGCUAUCGGGAUAGGACUAAGACAUGCUAGUUGAGCGCUUCAGCCAAAAAGAGGCGCGGCAUACAGCUCAGUAACACGUGGCUAAUCUGCCCUUAGGAUAGGAACAACCCCGGGAAACUGGGGCUAAUUCCCAAUAGGCGAAGAACUCUGGAAUGAGUCUUCACCCGAAAAGAGCUUACGUUAUGCGCGUAAGUCUCGCCUAAGGAUGAGGCCGCGACCGAUCAGGUUGUUGGUGAGGUAAUGGCUCACCAAGCCUUUUACCGGUGCGGGCCGUGAGAGCGGGAGCCCGGAGAUGGGCACUGAGACAAGGGCCCAGGCCCUACGGGGCGCAGCAGUCGCGAAAACUUUGCAAUACACGAAAGUGUGACAGGGCUGUCCCGAGUGCCAUCCGCUGAGGAAGGCUUUUACCCAGUCUAGAACGCUGGGGGAAUAAGGAGAGGGCAAGUCUGGUGUCAGCCGCCGCGGUAAUACCAGCUCUCCGAGUGGUGUGGAUGUUUAUUGGGCCUAAAGCAUCCGUAGCUGGCUAAGUUAGUCCCCUGUCAAAUCCACCGAAUUAAUCGUUGGAUCGCGGGGGAUACUGCUUGGCUAGGGGACGAGAGAGGCAGACGGUAUUUCCGGGGUAGGGGUGAAAUCCUAUAAUCCCGGGAAGACCACCAGUGGCGAAGGCUGUCUGCUAGAACGCGCCCGACGGUGAGGGAUGAAAGCUGGGGGAGCGAACCGGUUAGAUACCCGGGUAGUCCCAGCUGUAAACGAUGCAGGCUAGGUGUUUGGACGGCCACGUGCCGUUCUAGUGCCGCAGGGAAGCUGUUAAGCCUGCCGCCUGGGGAGUACGAUCGCAAGAUUGAAAUCUUAAUAGGAAUUGGCGGGGGAGCACCACAUAGGGGUGAAUGCUUGCGGUUU
Molecule: ribosomal RNA, 906 nt
Filed under: uncultured crenarchaeote
Lineage: Archaea; Thermoproteati; Thermoproteota
Description: bacterial SSU rRNA
Rfam family: Archaeal small subunit ribosomal RNA
Source: RNAcentral